GGAGAUUUUCCAUUGCCUUCUGGAUUUUGAGUCGUUGGAGUAGAUGAUAUUGAAGGAGGAGGUUGUGGUCGAAUAAUAUGUUGGGUGAGAGUGAGUUAGAGGAGUGCUAGAAGAAUGUAAAGUUGGUACAAAUAAUCGCAAAUCUAAUGGUAAAGAUUUUGCAUGCAAGGGGAAAAGGGAAUAUUGGGGAAGAUGAUUAUUGUGAUUGAUGGAAUGUUUGGAUUUACCAUUUGGCCAGAGACCUCUGCCAAGUGCUGAACGAGUUCUAGAUCUUUAGAUGGGAAUGAGGUAUUAUGUGUUUAGGGAGAGAGGUUUGAGUUGUCAAGUAGAUUCGGGUUUUCUUGCAUGGUUUGGGGUUACCACUUGUCUCCAUAGGAGUGUCUUGGUUAGUAGUGUCCAUGUGGUACUUUGGACUUAACUGAAGAAAUUAAUCGAAACAGGAGGAGGUGUUUGGAGUUACACUAGAGAUGCCAAAAUUCUAGAGUAAUGAAGGAAUCAAGUUUAUUAUAGGUAGGCAUUAAACCUUCUUCCUUUUUUGUAGGAGGAAGUCCCUUUUUAAUAUUAUUAGGUUCAUUAAUGGUGGAAGAAGUAGGAGCAUUUUGAAUCUUUGUAGAUUAGUUUUUGAUAGUUGAGAUACUUACUUUUUGAUGCAUCAUAGAUUUUAACAUUUAUACUGUUACCUGGUGCAAUAAUUUUUGGCAGAG
Molecule: long non-coding RNA, 704 nt
Filed under: Nicotiana benthamiana
Lineage: Eukaryota; Viridiplantae; Streptophyta; Magnoliopsida; Solanales; Solanaceae
Description: long non-coding RNA (NBEN_LNC040941)
Source: RNAcentral